This 99-nucleotide transfer RNA is filed under the name Diplodia seriata. It matches the Rfam family "tRNA". Rfam says of the family: Transfer RNA (tRNA) molecules are approximately 80 nucleotides in length. Their secondary structure includes four short double-helical elements and three loops (D, anti-codon, and T loops). RNAcentral also lists the same sequence under 1 other name. Lineage: Eukaryota; Fungi; Ascomycota; Dothideomycetes; Botryosphaeriales; Botryosphaeriaceae. The record is from Rfam by way of RNAcentral.
GGUGAGGUGGCCGAGUUGGUUAUGGCGCCAGGUUAAGGUUAUAGCUUAACAUGUUUCCUGGUGGGGCAACCCGCGCGAGUUCGAGUCUCGUCCUCAUCA